AGKMGCCRGGGAAUGGGUUCAGACUGGCAGGGAAUAGGGUGAGAUGGGAUAUUGGGCAGGAAUUGUUCCCUGGGAGGGUGRGCAGGCCCUGGCACAGKGUGYCCAGAGAAGCUGUGGCUGCCCCUGGAUCCCUUUGAGUGCCCAAGGCCAGGCUGGACAUUGGGGCUGGGAGCAGCCUGGGAAAGUGGAAGGUGUCCCUGCCCAUGGAAUGGGAUAGAAUGGGAUGAUCUUUAAGGUCCUUCCAAUCCAACCCAUUCCACACUCCUGAUGCCCUUCCCAGAGCCUUCAUGGGCAGCUCAGGGCUGUCCAUUCUCAGCUCCAGCCCUUGGGAAUUGUUGGCACAAUCCCAAACAAUUCCUGCACUGUUCAUGGCCAACCUUCUCCUUGUGGAACCCCACAGAGCUGCUGCUGCUUCCCYGGGUGGUUCCAGGAACAAAGCAAGGGUUGCAGCUUUGGGGUGUCUUCUGCAAGCUCAGUAGUUCUCAGUCCAUGCCCUGCAGAGCCCUGGAAUCCAGGAUGGGAGAUUUGGAGAGGCAAAUGUGGGAGAAGGUCCCAACUGGCUGCACUUGGUCCAAGAAUUCAUUGGGAAAAGUUCUGGAGUCUGCAAAUCCAAAUGGUGGGAGACCAGUGGGGUGGAUACUCCRAGAUCUUUGAGGCAUUCAGUUAUAGGAGCAAAAAUCCUAUGAAAUCCCAUAAAAUUGUGAGUCUGGGGGGUGAGUGUUGGGGGUGCCACUCAGCCUCCUUUGUGUUUCUUUGUGUUUGCCCAAAACAAUUCCCAACAAUUUCAGAGGAAGCAUCAUUUCCUAAUUCUCUCUCCACGGGUUUUUACUCUGUCUGGAACUUUUUGCUGCUGUGAUGUUUUUUUGUCUCCCUGUUUUUCCCGAAUCCAUUUCUGCCAUGAUAAAGCAUUGUUUUUAUGGGAUUUUGCCCAUUUGGGCCAAUCCAGCUGCCUGGAAUUGAUUUAUUCCAUGUGGGCCRCAUCCUUCAGGGGAGUUUCCAAAGCCUGAUCUCCUCAGAACUGUUUUUAGUGCUGCCACUUCCAGCUGAUAUCCAAGCUGAAACUCAAACCUCUCCCUUGGCUUUCUGUGCUUGUCCUUGGAAUUCCAGAGUUUCAUCUUUCCAGCAGAGCCCUCUCCUUUUUUGGCCAGGUGAAUAUUCCCAGAGAGGGACUGGAGUUGGUUUUGGAUCCUGUUCCUCUGUUCCCCACCGUGAUUGCCCAGGAUCCACAAUUCCUGCUCCUGGCAGCUGCRUUCCCAUCGCUGCUGCUCAGCUGGAAAACGGGAGGUGCUCAAAAGUAGAAACAUUUGCAGCCCCCAGGUUUGUUCCUUCUCCCCACCGUGGCUGUUUUCCAAGGGGGMAGGUGGCACCGUCCCAAAUUGGAUCCAAUUUUUGCCGUGCCAGCUCUGAGAGGAGAUUCCAGCCUGACUUCCAGCAGCUCUGACAAUUCCUGCUUGGCACACCCAGUUUCUCCAUUUUUCCGUGCAACAGCAUCAGGGAGCAGAGUCAGUGGUUUCAGAGGCCCUGAGAUUCAGGUUUCUGGGGUCCCUCAUUCCCUAGGCAAAUCCAGGUUUCUGAGGUGGUGAGACCACGUUUCAGAGGUGCCCCAUUCCAAGGGCAGAUCCAGGUUUUUCUGGGGUGCCCCAUUCCCUGGCAGAUCCAGGUUUCUGGGUCCCUCAUUCCCUGGGCAGAUCCAGGUUUCAGAGGCAGUGAGAUUCAGGUUUCUGAGGUUCCCCAUUCCAUGGGCAGAUCCAGGUUUCUGGGAUCCCUCAUUCCACAAGCAGAUCCAGGAUUCAGAGGUCAUUUUUGGGCAGAUCCAGKUUUCUGGGUCCCUCAUUCUUGGGCAGACUCAGGUGUCAGAGGUUCCCUCAUUCCAUGAUGAAAUCCAGGUUUCUGGGGUACCCCAUUCCCUGAGCAGAUCCAGGUUUAUGGGGUCCCUCAUUCUUGGGCAGAUCCAGGUUUCUGGGGUGCCCUAUUCCAUGAUGAGAUCCAGGUUUUUGGGUCCCUUAUUCCCUGGGCAGAUCCAGGUUUUUGGCAUCCAUCACCCACUCCAGGUUCUGGGCAGGGAUUUCACCUCCUGCAGCAGUGGCUGCUCCAAGGAGGUGCCAGGCUGGAAGGGGAAUUCCACAGGGAAGGGCAAACCRAGCUUCCAGACCCAAUUCCCUGCUGGGGAGUGACAGAACUCUGAAAUUCCCUUGGGAAUGAGCCCAUUCCUGCUCCCACCUCCUCCAGGUCCUGCAGUGGCGUGAGGCCUUCCCUCUGCCCUGGGGGUUUUACAUCCMUAAACAAAAAGRAAAAUCAAAUCCUGGCCGCUCAGGGGCUGGAUCUGGUGGCUUUGUCCCCUUCCCAGCCCCUUGGAGCUUCCCCUUCCCAGCCCCUUGGAGYUUCCCCUUCUGGCUUUUCUCUCUCACCCCAGGGAGAUCCCUCUGUGCUGGCACGAUUUCACAUCUGAUAAAAAGCUCCAGCUCCAAGAAAUCCCAAUCCUACAGAAUCCAGGCAAUGGAUGUUCAGUGUUUCCACCUGAAACCAUGACAGGGAUGAGGCAGGAGCCACGAGGGGAAGGUGACAAACUCGGCCUUGGCUGAGAAUUCCCAAUGCUGAACCCCAAAUUCCAUCAGUUUGCACAAAGUCUCUCCCUGGUUCAGCAGGAAACACCAGCUCCUGCAAUGACAGUUCUGAGGAGAUUAAAGCUCUUAAUUUAAUUGUGGUCUUAAUUUAUUUU
Long non-coding RNA from Malurus melanocephalus (red-backed fairy wren), 2719 nucleotides. RefSeq lists it as uncharacterized. The transcript is spliced from 2 exons. The record is from RefSeq and is a predicted model, not a curated record. NCBI's taxonomy places the organism in Eukaryota, Metazoa, Chordata, Aves, Passeriformes, Maluridae.